UUAACACAUGCAAGUCGAGGGGCAGCAUGGUCUUAGCUUGCUAAGACUGAUGGCGACCGGCGCACGGGUGAGUAACACGUAUCCAACCUGCCGUCUACUCUUGGACAGCCUUCUGAAAGGAAGAUUAAUACAAGAUGGCAUCAUGAGUCCACAUGUUCACAUGAUUAAAGGUAUUCCGGUAGACGAUGGGGAUGCGUUCCAUUAGAUAGUAGGCGGGGUAACGGCCCACCUAGUCUUCGAUGGAUAGGGGUUCUGAGAGGAAGGUCCCCCACAUUGGAACUGAGACACGGUCCAAACUCCUACGGGAGGCAGCAGUGAGGAAUAUUGGUCAAUGGGCGAGAGCCUGAACCAGCCAAGUAGCGUGAAGGAUGACUGCCCUAUGGGUUGUAAACUUCUUUUAUAAAGGAAUAAAGUCGGGUAUGCAUACCCGUUUGCAUGUACUUUAUGAAUAAGGAUCGGCUAACUCCGUGCCAGCAGCCGCGGUAAUACGGAGGAUCCGAGCGUUAUCCGGAUUUAUUGGGUUUAAAGGGAGCGUAGAUGGAUGUUUAAGUCAGUUGUGAAAGUUUGCGGCUCAACCGUAAAAUUGCAGUUGAUACUGGAUAUCUUGAGUGCAGUUGAGGCAGGCGGAAUUCGUGGUGUAGCGGUGAAAUGCUUAGAUAUCACGAAGAACUCCGAUUGCGAAGGCAGCCUGCUAAGCUGCA
RNAcentral lists this ribosomal RNA (701 nucleotides) under uncultured Bacteroidales bacterium. Its description in RNAcentral is "bacterial SSU rRNA". It matches the Rfam family "Bacterial small subunit ribosomal RNA", at positions 48 to 738 of the family's 1533-position model. Lineage: Bacteria; Pseudomonadati; Bacteroidota; Bacteroidia; Bacteroidales. The record is from RNAcentral.